GAAGAGCAAACAAUAUAUUUAUGGCCGCAAUUAAAGGUAAAUGUCUUUGGUGGGCCACCUGAAAGUAGGCAGCACAUUUUAAUGAGCCUUGUGUCCCCGAAGACAGAGUCAAAUAUAAUUAAAACAGUGAGUUGUGGACCGAUUCCGGUGGCCAGAGGCAUUGCGAAAUUGUGUCGGCCAGCCACUUUAACUUUUAUGGGAUGGAAUAAUGGUAAGUUGGAUUUUUUGAGUGCUAAUAUUAAGGUUGGUAGCGUAAAAGCGGAACCCUUUUUCGCAGGCGGCUACAAACAUGGAGAAAUUUCAUUAGUCUAAUGUGUUGCAUGUCACAUCAAUGUCAGGCGUUGCACUAUGUGCAAACUGCAUGUGGCAAAUGUGAAAAUCCCAAACAAGCUGGAUGCAGAUGGCCAGGACAUCCCGGAGCCACGGAUAUGUAGACCGGGUUGAGUGUCGUCUGUUUCUGUUUGUGGCUGUCGCUCAGGAUUCUUCCCAGCUUGUUGUCACUGUAGUAAAAACAGGCGAAUCCAACAGCUUCACCUGCUGCUCCCCUCCCAAUUCUUUCGGGUAGUUCCCCCUAUUCCUGUAGCCAUACGUCUUCGUCAUUUCAUUGCAGUUGUCAACCCAACAAUGCAAUGCAAAGUGCCACCACCUCCAACCUCCGACAGCGUGAUGCAUUGUUGUGCUACAUUUGUCAUACCCUGUAGUGCACGCCGAGGGUGUUAUGUGCGUCCUCUACGAGUACGCGAAAUUGGAACACUUGUGACAAGUUUAUUUAAACUCACUUUAGGUAAGGUCUUCCAUAUUUUACAUAUAUUCACAAUGUAUUUCUAGUUCCUUGUAUCAUUAAAUGGCUUAUAGAGCAGACAAGCAGGAUUCGGUGGAUUACACACAUAUAUAUAGGGAGCGAAACCACCUCCAGGCUGCGGAGCACACGAAAUUCCAGAAAUGGCAGCCAGGAUGAAAGCCAGAUAUAGAUUCAUCUUGGUUAUGGGUUGGUGGAUUAGUUUAUAGUACUCUUAUGGCUAGACAUUUGAAAAAUUAAGAAUGCAUGCAAAUCUUAUUUGAAAUGGUUGUUAAGAGAAAUAACUGUCUAAAUUAAUAUAUUACGAAAUAUAUUUGUAUUUAAAAAUGA
Molecule: long non-coding RNA, 1129 nt
Organism: Drosophila simulans
Lineage: Eukaryota; Metazoa; Arthropoda; Insecta; Diptera; Drosophilidae
Exons: 2
Source: RefSeq, a predicted model, not a curated record